ACUUGACACCGCUUCUCAACGGUCGCCAGCGUAUGCGCGGGGCAGCUUGAGCUCCUGGUUGUUGUGAUUACUCAGACCUUACUCACCCGGGCGCGCACAGUAGCCGGAGCAAAGGCGGCAGCGAUUGGCGGUGGCAGCACGGGUCUCGCGUUGCCCCUUUGCCCCCUUUUCGCGUGUCACUCACCGCAGUGGGCACAGAGGGACGCCUCAGGCUUGGCCAUCACGUGAGGUCAUCACCGAGCGAGGGAGGCGGAGAAAGAAUUGAAGUGAGAGAGAGAGAGAGAGACAUGAAAAAAGACAUAAAAAAACAUGAAUAAUGAAAGAGAGAAGAAGACAAAAGAGAUGGGGACUGGCGUGGUUAUAUUUCACGUUGCAAGAGAAGAGUGAGAGACAAAAGAGCCUGAUGGGAAAGGAUCAUGGCAGUGGCACUAUCAUAAAUAUUACUGCAGAAGCUGCUGACGAGAGGGGGUUUUCUGUCCUGCAAGCAAUCUGGCAUUUCACUCCCGGGUCUGACACACCAGACCCCCUUUGCUGGAUCCAAUCAGCAGAAAAUUGUUUGGGUUGCCACAGGCUACUGCACCUUACCAGACGGCAAAGAUAACCAAGAACAGAGAGGCAUUGUCAAGUAAGAAAGUGUCAAGGAAAGAGACAGAGAAAAAACAAUCCUGUCUGGUCUCCCUCAGUCAGACCGCUGGGCGUGGGCGUGAAGAACACUGGCUAAACCCAGCUCCAGAGCAACAAGCUCAGGGUUCAAAGUUCACAGGUGUGGGCACCACCGGCUCAGGGCCACCGCUUAGACGGACCGCACCCCCCCUGUCCGCACACCUGCUGACCUGAGCUAUGUGGGUGGGACAGGGCUUCAGUUGUGUGUGUCCCUAUCAUUACCUCGGCUCACAGGUGUGGUGUGGGGCAUUUAACCUUGACCUCAGACUGAGCCGCGAUUUCAUAAACGCGUCGUUUUCCCCUCAUCCAGCCAGGAGUUUCUUUUCCAAAGGAACAGCACAAGUGUGCCAUCACAGUGGGUUCUGUUCAACAGCUGCUUGUUUGGCAUCUCACUGCAUGAUGACACUAUCAGAGCUGAAGUACAGGGACACACAAAUAAACCUGAUUUUUGUCUA
Long non-coding RNA from Alosa sapidissima (American shad), 1118 nucleotides. RefSeq lists it as uncharacterized. The transcript has 3 exons. The record is from RefSeq and is a predicted model, not a curated record. NCBI's taxonomy places the organism in Eukaryota, Metazoa, Chordata, Actinopteri, Clupeiformes, Clupeidae.